Molecule: ribosomal RNA, 468 nt
Filed under: uncultured bacterium
Lineage: Bacteria
Description: partial 16S ribosomal RNA
Rfam family: Bacterial small subunit ribosomal RNA
Source: RNAcentral
GACGAACGCUGGCGGCGUGCUUAACACAUGCAAGUCGAACGGAAAGGCCCUGCUUUUGUGGGGUGCUCGUGUGGCGAACGGGUGAGUAACACGUGAGUAACCUGCCCUUGACUUUGGGAUAACUUCAGGAAACUGGGGUUAAUACCGGAUAGGAGCUCCUGCUGCACGGUGGGGGUUGGAAAGUUUCGGUGGUUGUGGAUGGACUCGCGGCUUAUCAGCUUGUUGGUGGGGUAGUGGCUUACCAAGGCUUCGACGGGUAGCCGGCCUGAGAGGGUGACCGGCCACAUUAGGACUGAGAUACGGCCCAGACUCCUACGGGAGGCAGCAGUGGGGAAUAUUGCACAGUGGGCGGGAGCCUGAUGCAGCGACGCCGCGUGCGGGAUGACGGCCUUCGGGUUGUGAACCGCUUUCGCCUGUGACGAGGCGUGAGUGACGGUAAUGGGUAAAGAAGCAACGGCUAACUACGUG